Molecule: long non-coding RNA, 728 nt
Organism: Canis lupus familiaris (dog)
Lineage: Eukaryota; Metazoa; Chordata; Mammalia; Carnivora; Canidae
Exons: 7
Source: RefSeq, a predicted model, not a curated record
GUGAAUCAUACUGCACAUUUUGCCUUCCUUCCAAAGAGUGUGGGAUGGAAAGGCAGGAAAACAGAGUAAAUUCAUUGUACAGAAAUCUGAUAAAGAUUACCAUCCGAUGAUCAAGGUUCUCAUUGACAGUAAAAAAAAGAGAAUGCUAAAAAGAUGAAAAUAGGAGAUGUCUCUUCUAGUGUGUAUUAAGAAGAUAAGUACUCUGGAAUGUCAAGUUGUUUCACCACAGCAACUCCUAAAUUUCAUAGAAUAUAACUGAUGAGUUGGUUGUUAAUAACUAAAUUUAGAUGAGUACUUGAGUCAAAAAGAUGUAUCCACAGACAUGUGAAUCAUUACUGCGAAGUGAAGACUAGGAAACUUAACUUCUUGUGCUCAGUCCUACGGUCUUUUCACAACACUCUACUUCUACUCCGGAAUAAUUUUUCAAGACAAAGACUGCUGGCCAUAGUGAGACCUAAACCCAAGUCUGAAGCUACCUGUGAAAAUGAUGGCUGUCCUACUGGAAAGAUCAGGAUAAUAAAAUCUAUGAUUUGCAACCACAAGUCUGUGAGAUGCUAUCUCUCAGAAUAGCAUGCCUAAAUGCCACCUGUAAAAACAGCAGGAAAGCAAUAUAGUGAGGAACAAAACAGCAGGACUCCUGCUUUGGCUCAUUGCUCAUUUUAAAUGGCUCAGUAAGUCACAAGAGUUGUCAGUGCUUCCUCACUUAGCUUUACAUCAUUUGUUUACAG